UACGUAGGGUGCGAGCGUUGUCCGGAAUUAUUGGGCGUAAAGAGCUUGUAGGCGGUUUGUCGCGUCUGCUGUGAAAUCUCAAGGCUCAACCUUGAGCUUGCAGUGGGUACGGGCAGACUAGAGUGUGGUAGGGGAGACUGGAAUUCCUGGUGUAGCGGUGAAAUGCGUAGAUAUCUGGAGGAACACCGGUGGCGAAGGCGGCAUUCUGGACCGACAUUGACGCUGAGGAGCGAAAGCCAGGGGAGCAAACGGG
RNAcentral lists this ribosomal RNA (253 nucleotides) under uncultured bacterium. RNAcentral describes it as "partial 16S ribosomal RNA". It matches the Rfam family "Bacterial small subunit ribosomal RNA", at positions 524 to 776 of the family's 1533-position model. The record is from RNAcentral.